AGCUUUUUCCAGGUUGCAGUGCGGCCCGAGACAUUACAUCACUCUUCAGAUGCUGGAAGAGAGCAUGGCAGUUCUUCAAUGGAUGGAUUGACCGCUGGGGGGAAGAUCAUUUUCCACUGGGCUGAAGGGAAUUGUAGUUUCAAGCACAGCACACAUGUAAUAUUGGACAAGGGGACUGUGUCCACUCAGGUUGAAAACCAUGUGUAUGAAAUUAGAUUUUUGGCAAACUGAACGGGACUGCAAUGAUACAGAAACAUUAUAAGAUCCUAUAUUGUUUAGAAAAAAUGGAGAUCAAAAUGGGCUCAGAUGCGUUUUUUAUUUUUCCUUUUUAAAGUUGCAGGCACACCAUGAUUUCCCACAGAGUGUCUGAAAUGUCAUUGGCAGAGCAGGGAGAGGGCAUCAUCAAUGACUAGGGCAGACCAGAGCACAGGACUGGAAGAGACACGUGUGAAGGAAACCACAACACCAGCCAAUUCUCACCUCCAAACCAUUGCCACAGCAGACUACAGAGAUGAUCCUU
This is a long non-coding RNA of Hyla sarda, 520 nucleotides long. RefSeq lists it as uncharacterized. NCBI's taxonomy places the organism in Eukaryota, Metazoa, Chordata, Amphibia, Anura, Hylidae. The transcript has 5 exons. The record is from RefSeq and is a predicted model, not a curated record.